Molecule: transfer RNA, 66 nt
Filed under: Cnemaspis harimau
Lineage: Eukaryota; Metazoa; Chordata; Lepidosauria; Squamata; Gekkonidae
Description: tRNA-Trp
Source: RNAcentral
AAAUUUAGGAUAUUACUAAACCAAGGGCCUUCAAAGCCCUAAAAAAGGGACCCCCCCUUAAUUUCU